Molecule: ribosomal RNA, 206 nt
Filed under: uncultured bacterium
Lineage: Bacteria
Description: partial 16S ribosomal RNA
Rfam family: Bacterial small subunit ribosomal RNA
Source: RNAcentral
CAUGUAGGCGGCUAUUUAAGUCUGUCGUGAAAAUGCGGGGCUUAACCCCGUAUGGCGGUAGAAACUGGAUAGCUUGAGCGCAGGAGAGGAAAGGGGAAUUCCCAGUGUAGCGGUGAAAUGCGUAGAUAUUGGGAGGAACACCAGUGGCGAAGACGCCUUUCUGGACUGUGACUGACGCUGAGAUGCGAAAGCCAGGGGAGCGAACG